UACAGAAAUGUGAAAGUAGGUCACUAGGUCAAAAUCAAGGUCAACUCAUGUCAAGGUUCAUCUUGCCCCUCAAAAAUAUACAUGUGGUCCAAGUUUGAAUGUUGUAGUUACUGACAAGAACAUUUUAAAAGCUUUUCCCUAUAUAAGUCUAUAUGAACCAUGUGACCCCCGGGGCGGGGCCAUAUUUAACCCUAGGAGGAUAAUUUGAACAAACUUGGUAGAGAACCACUAGAUGAUGCUACAUUACAAGUAUCAAAGCCCUAGGCUUUGUGGUUUGGACAAGAAGAUUUUCAAAGUUUUUCCCUAUAUAAGUCUAUGUAAACCAUAUGACCCCCAGGGCGGGGCCAUAUUUGACCCUAGGGGUAUAAUUUGAACAAUCUUAGUUGAAGACCACUAGAUGAUGUCACAUACAAAAUAUCAAAGCCCUAGGCCCUGUGGUUUGGACAAGAGGUUAUUCAAAGUUUUUCCCUAUAUAAGUCUAUAUAAACCAUGUGACCCCCAGGGCGGGGCCAUAUUUGACCCCAGAGAAAUAAUUUGAAUCAUCUUGGUAGAGGACCACUAGAUGAUGCUUCAUACUAAAUAUCAAAGCCCUAGGCUCUGUGGUUUUGGACAAGAAGGUUUUCAAAGUUUUUCCCUAUAUAAAUCUAUAUAAAUUAUAGAAAUAAACAAAGGGCCAUAACUCACUCAUAAAUUGUUGAACCAGUCUGUUUUUCAGGGGGACACAACUAGGGUACCAAUACAUCAUUCUGACAAAGUUUGGUCAAAAUCCCCCCAGUAGUUUCUGAGGAGAUGCGAUAACGAGAAAUUGUUAACGGACGGACGGACGGACGGACGGAAUGACGGACGGACGGACCACGGACGCAGAGUGAUUUUAAUAGCCCACCAUCAUCAUGAUGGUGGGCUAAAAAAGGGGAAUUUUCAUUUGUGUUGAAAUAAACUAUAGUUUCAAGUUUAUUGAUAAAUUCAGGGCCCAUAAGAGCAUCUGACAUGACAUAUAACACAAUGUAGCAUAUCAAUACCAGAUAACCAAAUAAAUUUUUCAAAUGUGGAGGAUAAGACAUCCAAUAGACUACCAAAAUUUACAACAGACAUUAGGUCCCUUCUUAAACAAAUCGGUGAGUGGCUGUUUUUUUAUUUCUGUCAAAGUCUGACAUUUGCAGUCACUGUUACAUUUGACCUGUCACAAUAAAAACAAACUGUAAAAAACAAUGUAUGCAUUGGACUAGUCCCUUCCCAAAGCAUAAAAUCAAACCCUGACUGACUAGAAGAUGGAAAACUCAACACUACCCGGCCAAACAAACAGAAUGCAAAUCAUUUACAGACUAACAUUCAACAGCGUUGUUGUGCAGAAUAAUAAAGCGCUUCGAUGAUUCUGAUUUAUCAAGGGAAGUUACUCCAACCGGUGUCGAUUAGGGGUGACUAUUGAGGCCAAUUUUGACUAUUGCAAUACUAUUGAUAUUGCUUAAAAACUAUUGCGAUACUAUUCUAUUGCAGGUUACUAUUGCGAUACUAUUGCAAUAGUUAUCAGCCAUCAUAUUUUAUACAGUAAAGUUACCAACUGGCAUUGUUACAGUGUAACAGACGGCACUGUUUAUAAUUGCUGUUAACACACAUUGAGAUGUUUGUAUAACUGAAACGGACAGAAAUAAUUCUAACAUUAAAUAUUUCUUGCCUUCCUUGGCUUUGGAACAAUAAGUAAAACAAUAAACCUAUGCAAGGUAUACUCAAACGAA
Molecule: long non-coding RNA, 1733 nt
Organism: Mercenaria mercenaria
Lineage: Eukaryota; Metazoa; Mollusca; Bivalvia; Venerida; Veneridae
Exons: 2
Source: RefSeq, a predicted model, not a curated record